RNAcentral lists this ribosomal RNA (482 nucleotides) under uncultured Gammaproteobacteria bacterium. RNAcentral describes it as "bacterial SSU rRNA". It matches the Rfam family "Bacterial small subunit ribosomal RNA", at positions 906 to 1388 of the family's 1533-position model. The record is from RNAcentral. Lineage: Bacteria; Pseudomonadati; Pseudomonadota; Gammaproteobacteria.
UGAAUUGACGGGGGCCCGCACAAGCGGUGGAGCAUGUGGUUUAAUUCGAUGCAACGCGAAGAACCUUACCUACUCUUGACAUCCAGAGAACUUAGCAGAGAUGCUUUGGUGCCUUCGGGAACUCUGAGACAGGUGCUGCAUGGCUGUCGUCAGCUCGUGUUGUGAAAUGUUGGGUUAAGUCCCGCAACGAGCGCAACCCUUAUCCUUUGUUGCCAGCGGUUCGGCCGGGAACUCAAAGGAGACUGCCAGUGAUAAACUGGAGGAAGGUGGGGAUGACGUCAAGUCAUCAUGGCCCUUACGAGUAGGGCUACACACGUGCUACAAUGGCAUAUACAAAGAGAAGCGACCUCGCGAGAGCAAGCGGACCUCACAAAGUAUGUCGUAGUCCGGAUCGGAGUCUGCAACUCGACUCCGUGAAGUCGGAAUCGCUAGUAAUCGUAGAUCAGAAUGCUACGGUGAAUACGUUCCCGGGCCUUGUACAC